RNAcentral lists this transfer RNA (72 nucleotides) under Balaenoptera acutorostrata scammoni. RNAcentral describes it as "tRNA-Sup (TTA) (tRNA-Sup-TTA-5-1)". It matches the Rfam family "tRNA". From Rfam's summary of the family: Transfer RNA (tRNA) molecules are approximately 80 nucleotides in length. Their secondary structure includes four short double-helical elements and three loops (D, anti-codon, and T loops). The record is from RNAcentral. Lineage: Eukaryota; Metazoa; Chordata; Mammalia; Artiodactyla; Balaenopteridae.
UCCCUGGCAGUCCAGUGGUUAGGACUCAGUGCUUUAACUGCUGUGGCCCAGGUUCAAUCCCUGGUCGGGGAA